Mustela putorius furo (domestic ferret) is the source of this 104-nucleotide small nuclear RNA. The record is from Ensembl. NCBI's taxonomy places the organism in Eukaryota, Metazoa, Chordata, Mammalia, Carnivora, Mustelidae.
GUGCUUGCUUCAACAGCACAUAUACAAAAACUGGAGUGAUACAGAGAACAUUAGCAUGCCCCUGCCCAAGGAUGGGUAGUAUUUGGCAGCAAAUAUUUAUUUGU